AAAAAGACCUUGCAGAGAGAGGCCAGCAAUAAAUUUAAUUUGAACGAUAAUGAAAGUCGCUCUGUACGCGCCAAUGUGGCUCCUUUCCCUCUCACCGGUGUCUUCUCUUCUCUCCAUCCUUUUGACGGAGCCUCGAACGCGUGCCCAAAGAAACCGCGUUUCUGCUUUGCCCCCAUUCUCCUUCCCAAACCCUAUUUCCCUCCCCUUCAGCCCCCUCGCCUUCGCCCUCUUCCCCUAAUCCCGCCCCUAGAUGUCGCUCCCCGACGCCGCCGCCUCCGCUUCAUCCUAGAGGAAUGCCCACCCUCCACUGCGUAGAAGGCCAAGCCAGGUCCACGCCUCUCAUCUUUCCCCUUAGGGUUAGGGUUAGGGUUUCUGGGUGCUUGUGAUUUCAUCUUUUAAAGCUCUUCUCUUCUUCGUCGUGUUGAGGGUAGUGACGAGAAAGUGUUCAUGGUUCCGGACGUGGAGUUGGGCCCCAGCAGCUUGGGAGGGCGGGGCGUCGGAGGCGGCCAUGGAGAUCUAGUAGAACACCGGCGGCGGGGGGGGGGGGUGGGCGAGGGCCGGAAUCCGAUGGACCGCUGCUUAGGAACAGAGUUUCUGCUCAGCAAGCCAGAGAAAGAAGAUCUAUUUGAACGACCGGAAGUGCUGCACGACAAAAUUUGGAAGUUAGAAGAAAAGAUUUCAACUUUGAUCUAUGAAAACACUAUGCUUAGGAACACCAGGCCUAAAGUUGAUGAAGGUGUUGAGCCACAAGAUGAUGUGUCAGGCAACAACAACUAGUUAUCUUGGUUAAUGUUUCAUGGAUUACUGUCAGGGAGUCAGUUAAUAUAUCAAAACUAAUACUUUUGGGAGUUUUUUAUCUCUUGAUGCGAGACAAAGCUUCUUAUGUUUAUGGUUACUUGACCAUCUCUUCCUUGACAUUUCAUUCUGCUUAAUUCAGUUGGAAACUAAGGCCUUUUCCAAUUGUCAGAGAGUUCUUUGUAAACUCUGUUUGCGUGUUGUGUUUUUAAUUCUUGUGGAGCCACCCAGUCUUUCAGCCUUGAUAGAGCUUUUUUUCUCA
This is a long non-coding RNA of Elaeis guineensis (African oil palm), 1057 nucleotides long. RefSeq lists it as uncharacterized. The record is from RefSeq and is a predicted model, not a curated record. NCBI's taxonomy places the organism in Eukaryota, Viridiplantae, Streptophyta, Magnoliopsida, Arecales, Arecaceae.